RNAcentral lists this unclassified non-coding RNA (355 nucleotides) under soil metagenome. RNAcentral's name for it is "partial contains 5.8S ribosomal RNA, internal transcribed spacer 2, and large subunit ribosomal RNA". The stretch from base 1 to 120 matches the Rfam family "5.8S ribosomal RNA", at positions 35 to 154 of the family's 154-position model. The record is from RNAcentral.
GAUGAAGAACGCAGCGAAAUGCGAUAAGUAAUGUGAAUUGCAGAAUUCAGUGAAUCAUCGAAUCUUUGAACGCACAUUGCGCCCGUUAGCAUUCUAGCGGGCAUGCCUGUCCGAGCGUCAUUUCAACCCUCAGGGUCCCCGUUCCGGCGGGGAACCUGGUGUUGGGGAUCGGCCCGCCCCGUGCGGCGCCGUCCCCCAAAUUCAGUGGCGGUCUCGCUGCAGCCUCCCCUGCGUAGUAGUUACAACCUCGCAUCGGAGCUCAGCGCGGCCACGCCGUAAAACCCCCGACUUUCUGAACGUUGACCUCGGAUCAGGUAGGAAUACCCGCUGAACUUAAGCAUAUCAAAAGCGGAGG